This is a long non-coding RNA of Centruroides sculpturatus (bark scorpion), 334 nucleotides long. RefSeq lists it as uncharacterized. The transcript is spliced from 4 exons. NCBI's taxonomy places the organism in Eukaryota, Metazoa, Arthropoda, Arachnida, Scorpiones, Buthidae. The record is from RefSeq and is a predicted model, not a curated record.
UUCAGCGCCUCGAAAUUAUGUCUUGCAUUAAAAAAGGCGAUUGCAUCGCAAAUAAAGUGAAGAAAAAUGAAGUCAUAAAGAAUUUUGUGGACAAAUUUGAUAAUACAGAUAAUUGCGAAGAAUUUGUUAAAGGUCUUAAGGAGAAACUUGAUGCUAUGUGCGAGUCCUACGAAGGUGACGAUAACGACUUGAAAUAUUUCUGUAAGCAAAAUCAUGUGUUAGCGUGAAGUAAAAAUUUUCAAAAUUUAUCCUAAAUAUCAUUAAAUUUUAGUAAUUAUUAAUUAUGUGUUGUUCUUUUCUAUAAUUUAAAUCAGCAACGUUCGAAUAUAUUCAG